GAAAAAUAAAGUUUCUCUAUUAGCUGAUCCACCCUUCCACCCCACCUGUCUCUUAUAAGAUGAGACAGGCUCAGCUAAAAACAUCCAUUACAACUUAGGAUAAAUUAAUUAAGCUAAUCAGAAUUUAGACUUAAGCUAAACAAUGUCUGGCUGGAACGCGGAGAGGGUGUAGCUGGUGAGUGCUGUAACAAUGUUGGCCUGACAGAGCCCCUCCCUUGAGCCCAGACCUCAGGGCUGGAAUUCAGGGAAUGUUUCCUGGAUGAAAUCGGCGUCUUCCCAGGUAGCUUCAUCGCUUGUCAUCGUUUCCCAGUGAAUCAACCAUUGUGGAAUGGCCACCUCAUAGUCCCCAAUUGAGCGAGGAACAAUGCGUCGUUGCAGCACUUUCAGUGGAGCGAAUUUUACCUUGCCAUCCACCGUGACGAGGGGCAGCGUCGGGUUUGGUACAGCAUUUGGACCUGUGUGUUUCUUCAGUUGACUAACAUGGAACACAUCGUGUAGCUUGCACGUAUCUGGCAACUGAAGCUGGUAAGAAACCUGGCCCACUUUCUUGAGAACCUUGAAAGGACCAUACCACUUUGGGGAGAAUUUUGGUGGAUUAUUCAAUCCUAGCGCCUUUUCUCUGUAAGGUUUGGCCUUUAGGUAAACAAAAUCACCUAAUUCGAAUGAUCUUUCAGUUCUCUUGGCGUCUGCAUAUUUCUUCAUGCGAGCUUGAGCUUUGCUCAGAUUCUGUUGUAACAGUGUGACCAUAUUCUCUUUCUCUUCCAUAGCAUCUGUGGUAUCUUGAGGUUGCACCAAUGGUACUGGAAUGUUUUGCAGCAGUGGAGGGGGAUAUUCAUACAAAGCUUGGAAAGGUGACAUCUGAAUUGCAGUGUGGUAUGAAACAUUGUACCACCAUUCGGCUGCAGCUAGCCAAUCACACCAUUUUUUUGGCUGCUGAAAUGCCAUGCAACGUAAGUAUUGCUCCAAACAUUGGUUAACUCGUUCCGUUUGUCCAUCUGAUUCCGGAUGGUAAGCUGUGCUAUAAUUGAGCUUGGUCUUGAACUUGGAGAAAAGUUGUUUCCAUAGUGUACUGGUGAAAAUAGCAUCUCUAUCACUGACUAUGCUAGCUGGAGGACCAUGGAGUUUGAUGAUGGAAUUCAUGAAUACUUCAGCCACUGAUUGCACAGAGUAUGGAUGAGCUAGUGGGACAAAAUGAGCAUAUUUUGUCAAUCUAUCGACCACCACUAAGAUGACCUCUUUGCCUCUGGACUUGGGUAGACCUUGGAUGAAGUCCAUGCUUAUGUCUGACCACUUUUGAGCUGGUAUGGGUAGAGGUUGUAACAGUCCAGGUGUGACCUUGGUGCCAGAGUGACCACCAAAUAAGGAGGAAUGGAAGGUGUCAAAGAUUUUCUCCCUGAGAUUGGUGGUUGAACCAAUAUAUAUCUUCCCUUUGAAACGCAAGAUGCCAGCUUCUAAUGUGAAGUUGUUGUGGCUGUUUGCAUUGAUGGACAAUUCUUGUACUAGUUUCAUACAGUGGGCAUCCUCGGUGUAAGAGUAGUGCACGUCUUGCAUCCAAGUUGGAAUAGUGACCACAGUUUGUGAGUUGCAAUGAAGUGUGUUGUCUGCCUCUUCAUCUUUGUCUUCUUCCUGGAAUUGGCGAGACAAGGCAUCGGCAACUGUGUUCUCUUUUCCUUUUUUGUACUCUAUUUCAUAGGUGAAUUCCAGCAAUUUGAGCAUUAACUUAUGCUGAAUGCCUUCCAACAAUCUUUGGCUAGCCAGAUACUUAAGUGCUUGUUGAUCUGUUUUAA
Lolium rigidum is the source of this 1787-nucleotide long non-coding RNA. RefSeq lists it as uncharacterized. The transcript has 2 exons. Lineage: Eukaryota; Viridiplantae; Streptophyta; Magnoliopsida; Poales; Poaceae. The record is from RefSeq and is a predicted model, not a curated record.